RNAcentral lists this ribosomal RNA (376 nucleotides) under uncultured organism. RNAcentral describes it as "partial 16S ribosomal RNA". It matches the Rfam family "Bacterial small subunit ribosomal RNA", at positions 527 to 897 of the family's 1533-position model. The record is from RNAcentral.
GGAGGGGGCGAGCGUUAUUCGGAAUUAUUGGGGCGUAAAGGGCAGGUAGGCGGCUUUGUAUGUCUCCUGUGAAAGCCCUCGGGCUCAACCGAGGGAAUUGCAGGGGAAACUGCGGAGCUUGAGUCCGGGAGAGGCUAGUGGAAUUCCCAGUGUAGCGGUGAAAUGCGUAGAUAUUGGGAGGAACACCAGUGGCGAAGGCGGCUAGCUGGACCGGUACUGACGCUGAGCUGCGAAAGCUAGGGGAGCGAACGGGAUUAGAUACCCCGGUAGUCCUGGCUGUAAACGCUGAGCACUUGGUGUGGCGGGUAUCGACCCCUGCCGUGCCGAAGCUAACGCAUUAAGUGCUCCGCCUGGGGAGUACGGUCGCAAAGGCUGA